Long non-coding RNA from Oreochromis aureus, 424 nucleotides. The record is from Ensembl. NCBI's taxonomy places the organism in Eukaryota, Metazoa, Chordata, Actinopteri, Cichliformes, Cichlidae.
CAAAUUCAGUCAACCAGUCUAAAUAUAUUGAAUUUAAAUCAUACAAUAAGAUGCUCCCAUAAAAACUCUCUCUCGCCCUCUCUCUCUCUCUCUCUCUGUCUCACGCACACACACACACACACACACACACACACACACACACACACACACACACACACACACACACACACACACACACAGGGAGAGAAAAUCAAGUUUCUAGGUCAGUCAAGCAGCCUGGGAGCUGCUAAAUUUGAAUCCACCAAUCAGAGAGGCUGUGUACUUUUUCCCGCCAAAACUGGUGCACUAAGUUCAGGCCUUUACACAUGCAGCACAGAGAGAGACAGGAUUUUUGCAGUCUAUUUCUCAUAGUGAGAAUUCCCCUCAAACAAACAGCCAUAAAUUUCUAACCGUAGGGGCUAAAACAGUCAUUCUUAGACCAUUU